CCCGCCCGCCCCUGGCGAGCUGGGGCGCUGGAGCAGGCGGGGUGUGGGGGAGAAAGUGUCGGGGUUUCGCAUGCCGCACGUCAUUUAUGGACUUGAAAAAUGACAUCCCUGACAAGGAGUUGCGUCUUUUUUGCCUCAGAAAGAGAAACCAGUAACUUCCGGAGGAAACAAAGAAAUAAGAAGUCUUCAAAUACACAACAAAUUUUUAACUUCUCUUCAGAAUUCAUCUACUCCCUCUAGCUGGAAUUGGAAGUGGAAGUGCCAAACUAACUGUGAAGGAAGGCAAAUUGCAGCUGGGGUUUUCCAUUCUUCCCACAGCAUCUUUAACUCCAACUGAAUCAACUCCUGAGUUGUGGAAAACAAAUGUGGAGAAUGUGCCCUUUUUAGCAGACAUUCUCUACUAGCACAAUGUAAGACUAUUUUAACAGAAGUCUCACUGGGCCUGAGCUCUCCUGCUGUUGCAGUUAAGAAUAUUGUUUGCCCAGAACUGCAGAAAUGCAUUUCUUGUUUUCCCUAUUAGAAGUGCACCUUUCAAAUCAAAGUUUAAAAAAGAAAAUGGGAACAGCUAAAGAUUAAAUGAAAAGGCAGAAAAGGGCCUCAAACAAAGGAACAAGCCCAUCCUUUUUUAUUGCUCCACAGCACUGAACCAAUUUAAAAGAUCAGUUUGAAGACAUGAAGUUAAAAAUUAAGUUUUUGCAAACUGUAGGUGGGAUGUGGAUAGCACUCUAAUUGAGCUCAGAGGACACAGGUUUUAUACUUCAUUCUGCAAUAGUCAAACGAAACAAGAAGCUAAACUCUAAAUUCGACCCCACUAACAUGAAGAUUACCCAUCUGCUUCAAGACAGACAUGCUUCCAACACCUUGCCGAGUUUGACUUUGUGGCCACUCAAAACACUGGACCAGUCUACAAAGCCAGUGCCAGCUUGGAUACCUGCAAGUAAAAAAGAAACCAAUUCAGUAGCAAAAAUAAGCUGCUUCUUCCAUCAACAUCUCCUACUGGUUGUAAAAGAGACACACAAAGAUCAGGUUUUUAUGAAGUGGAUAAAUCUUUUGGUUUGACCAAAGGCAGCUAAUCUUGUGGUGUAACACUGGGAAAAGCAGAAGAUGGCUUGCAGAUAUCUCGUCCUUGCAGGCAGCUGUGCCAGCUUUCUUCCGAGCUGCAUCACAGUUCCUUCCAAUUAUGGCAGCUAUUACAAUCCCAGUGAAUAUUUUGGCACCUGGAAGUGCAUCAUUUGUGCUCUGACCACAAAUCCUUUACUUCAGACACAGCUCCAAGGCAGAAGCUACAGACAGCACCGCCAGAGUUCCUAAAUCCUCUCGGCCAGGUAGAGCUGAAUGACAUGAAGACUCCAAGAGCAAAUCUGGUAAUUCCCAGCAAAUGCUAUGAUCUUAAAUUCCUUUUACCUCUGUCCCUUCUGCAGCAAAUGCAAAGGGAAUUUUGCACUAAAAAUGAGUGGAUAACUAAACUGGCUUGACUACACUACAGACAUCCAAAGCAGAAAAGUACUUUCUACAAAUCCAACAGAUUUCUCUAUCAUUAGCACUCCAAAUUGUUUCCAUUCACAAAUGAGCUCGAGCUGUAACAUGACUCUCCUACAGGAAAACCUGGCAUUACCUAACUAAAGUUUGGGUUUAUGUCAAGUUUAUGCCAUAUUUUCACAGUCCUGUUCCUAUGCCAGAAAAAUCUUAAGUGCAGAUUGAGUCCCAGGAGCAGAAUCAUCAGUGGGACACUGUCCUAGAGUGAUUCUCUUCAGAAUUACAAUUGUGCUGAACACCUACAGUAAGAAGAAACUCUUCCUGUAUUCCUUUUCUUGAAUAGGGCAGAUUUGACUCAAACCACUGCAAGUUAUUAUUUUCCAGUCUUGCAAAGAGCUGCAGGAGUUAUCAGUUCAGGUUACUCUUAUCUACACAAUAAAAUCUUCCCCAAACUUGCCUCCUGGUUUCCAGGAAUAAGUUGCAAUGGCCACUACCCUUGCAGAGCACAAUUGCUAUUACAUACAAAUCUAGUUAGAGAAUGUAACAAUAUCUGCACCAUUAAAAGAUCUUAAUCACAUUUACUGUAAGCAUAAAAUAAUUACAUUUUGGUCCAGACCCUACAAAAACAUUUUCCCUGACUCCCACUGAGACCAAAAUAACUUUUGUCCUGCACUUCAGUGGAAAAAAAGUCCAAUAUGAUGUAAAAAAUCCCCCACUAUGCAUACAUUACAAUAAAGUACUGCACAUGGUAGCUUUUAUCCCAGGUUUCAAGGUAGUAAAAUGCUAUUACAACAUGUCUGGCAUUUCACAGAUGAAGGAAUUAGUAUUUUAUUACAUGUAUAAACAUAUUCUUAAAAGCAACUGGGGUGUAAAAUCUCUGGCAGAAAAAAACUUCAAGGUGAUAAAAUGCUUCACCCCAGCAUUUGUGCCAUAAAAGAGGCAUUAAAAAUAAGUUUGAAGGGGUGGCUAAAAACUAUAAAAAGUUAAGCAUGGUUCCAAUAAUUGCCUGGGCCCCUCCCCAUCUCAGUGCUCAAACUGAACAUGGUACCAUUACUGCUGCUGUGUUUGAGCAAACAUGAAUUUGUGAGUCAGCUAACUUGAGAUUCAAAAAAGGAAUUGUUGCAGAAGCAGCUGGGAGAAGCACUCAUAGUGAAUUGCUGCCUCUUACACUGGCUUUGCUGAUGGAGGUCAAGUCUUAAUUCUGCAAUUAAGCAGAUCUCUUCAGACAGGUCCUGAACUGAAACCAAAACACAAAAGCUUGUUUCUCCCACUAGCACAGGACUUCAUGAGUCUGGGUAUGCCUAUUACUUUCUGUCCUCAGUACAGGUAUUCUUUUAUUUUUUUCUUGUUCUUGUUUUCAUAGCAGUAUGACAAAAAAGAACCUAAGCAGCCUACACUGAAAUCAGGGGAUUUGACCUCACAGUUAUUUCUGUAAUAACUGCUACCCUAAAUGUUAGUUGUCUUUUACUGGAGAUUCACUGGAAGCAGGCUUGACCCACUUUGAAUGAUUUAAAUCCAAAAUCAUUCCAGAAGC
Motacilla alba alba is the source of this 3010-nucleotide long non-coding RNA. RefSeq lists it as uncharacterized. The transcript is spliced from 3 exons. The record is from RefSeq and is a predicted model, not a curated record. Lineage: Eukaryota; Metazoa; Chordata; Aves; Passeriformes; Motacillidae.